This 1282-nucleotide ribosomal RNA is filed under the name metagenome. Its description in RNAcentral is "SSU rRNA". It matches the Rfam family "Eukaryotic small subunit ribosomal RNA", at positions 1 to 1360 of the family's 1831-position model. The record is from RNAcentral.
UCUGGUUGAUCCUGCCAGUAGUCAUAUGCUUGUCUUAAAGAUUAAGCCAUGCAUGUCUAAGUAUAAGCUUUUAUACGGUGAGACUGCGAAUGGCUCAUUAAAACAGUUAUAGUUUAUUUGCUGAUCGUUUAUAUGGAUAACCGUAGUAAUUCUAGAGCUAAUACAUGCUGGUUGCGCAGUGCGUAGUAUUUAUUAGAUAUAAGCCAACGAGCGAGGACUCAUAGUAACUGAGCGGACUCCUACGGAAGUGCAGCAUUCAAGUUUCUGCCCUAUCAGCUUGAUGGUAGUGUAUUGGACUACCAUGGCAAUGACGGGUGACGGAGAAUUAGGGUUCGAUUCCGGAGAGGGAGACUGAGAAACGGCUAGCACAUCUAAGGAAGGCAGCAGGCGCGCAAAUUACCCAAAUCCUAACUCAGGGAGGUAGUGACAAGAAAUAACAACGCGGGGCUCUGUCUCGCGAUUGGAAUGAGAACAAUGUAAAAGCCUUAACGAGGAUCCACUGGAGGGCGAGUCUGGUGCCAGCAGCCGCGGUAAUACCAGCUCCAGUAGCGUAUAUUAAAGUUGUUGCAGUUGAAAAGCUCGUAGUUGAAAUUCUGUACGGAACGACGUCUUCGGAUGAUCGAGCCGUGCAUCCGCCUGAGCAGCAGGUCGGUACUUUGUUGCCGGUUUGUGAUCAGGCACUUUACCUUGAGCAAAUUAGAGUGUUCCAGGCAGGCGUCAGCCUGAAUAGUCCAGCAUGGAAUAAUAGAAGAGGACUGAAAACCACUGUUGGUGUUGUGGUAAUCAGUAAUGAUUAAUAGGGAUAGUUGGGGGCAUUCGUAUUUAAUUGUCAGAGGUGAAAUUCUAUGAUUUAUUAAAGACGAACCUAUGCGAAAGCAUUUGCCAAGGAUGUUUUCAUUAAUCAAGAACGAAAGUUAAGGGAUCAAAGACGAUCAGAUACCGUCGUAGUCUUAACCAUAAACUAUGCCGACUAGAGAUUGGAGGUGCAACUCCAAGACUCCUUCAGCAUCUUACGAGAAAUCAAAGUCUUGGGUUCUGGGGGGAGUAUGGUCGCAAGACUGAAACUUAAAGGAAUUGACGGAAGGGCACCACCAGGUGUGGAGCCUGCGGCUUAAUUUGACCCAACACGGGGAAACUUACCAGGUCCAGACAUAGCGAGGAUUGACAGACUGACAGCUCUUUCUUGAUUCUAUGGGUGGUGGUGCAUGGCCGUUCUCAGUUGGUGGAGUGAUUUGUCUGGUUAAUUCCGAUAACGAACGAGACCUCAGCCUGCUAAAUAGUC